GUUUUUCUAUGGCAUGAAGGGUUAUGCAGAGCUCUCCGACUUCUCUAUCCAUCUCCUCCCUCCAGACGAAAGGCUUAGAUUUGCAAGAUAACUGGUUAUUAGGAGAAUGCAAGCUCCCCAGGGGCAGGGACGCCCGGGGUCCGCUCCCUGCUCUCCUUCAAGCACCCGGCACAGAGGGCCGUCUUCGGGGCUCUCUGUGGAAUGAAGGCAUGAACCUCGCCAGGUUGAGCUUAACGGUCACCUCCUGCAAGAAGACAGCCCCCACGGGAAUGAAUGCUGCCAACACCACAGGAAUGAGCUCCGCAUGGCUCCUUCCCCAGGUGAACCUUCAGAUAAGACUGCAGCCCACACUGACACCUUGACUGCAACCUGUGACAGAGCCCAAGCAAAGGACCCAGUGAAGCCCUGCCUGGAUUCCUUAUUCACAGAAAAGGUGAGGA
Pipistrellus kuhlii (Kuhl's pipistrelle) is the source of this 440-nucleotide long non-coding RNA. RefSeq lists it as uncharacterized. The transcript is spliced from 3 exons. The record is from RefSeq and is a predicted model, not a curated record. Lineage: Eukaryota; Metazoa; Chordata; Mammalia; Chiroptera; Vespertilionidae.